Onychostoma macrolepis is the source of this 962-nucleotide long non-coding RNA. RefSeq lists it as uncharacterized. The transcript is spliced from 2 exons. NCBI's taxonomy places the organism in Eukaryota, Metazoa, Chordata, Actinopteri, Cypriniformes, Cyprinidae. The record is from RefSeq and is a predicted model, not a curated record.
AAGACACGGCGAUCCCUCCGAGCUUCCCCAGCGAGCGCGUGUCCAGACUCGCAGCGCCAGAGAUCAAACUGCAAACCACCAAAGGAAGGAUGAUCAUCUUGAGCAUCCUCAGCAGCAUCUCUCCGGGGAAGGCGAAAAAUAACAUUUCACAGCUGCCAAACCAGGAGCAGGAAGCUGAGUGUGCUCUCCAGUCGUUACUAUAAUACACUGAACCCUACUGUGAGGAGGCUUGGACAAAACAAGACUGUGAAGAUUUUAAGCCCCAGAUAGUUCCAAAAUGUCUUCUGGUACACUGAAAAGAAUCUUAAGAAGGAGCUUGUGUUAAAGGUAUGGUAUUGUUAAAAGCAUUGUAAAAGUAAUGCUAUGAGAUAGAGGGUAAAAAAAUGUCUGACCUUAUGUAAAAUCUAACCACAUCCUGCAGCUGUUGCAUGCUUAAGAAAGAUGAGCUCUCUCCAUAUGACUAUGACCCCCUCCUAAUCUAGUUACAAAUCUGAUUUCUGUGCCAGAUUUACCUUAAAUGUAUUUGAUGGUUUACUUUGUAGAACAAUUGGUUUAAAUUUGUCUUCCAUCCCAAUAUAUGGCUUCCAUCUAUGUAAUUUAGAGAUGUUAAAAAUGCUUCUAAACAUAUAUUGUAUGUUUACUCAUUAGUACAGUAAUCUGUACAUUAUAAGCAACGUCUAUACUCUACUGCGCUUUUCUGUUGUCUAAUAUGUAUAAAACCAGAAGUGAACAGAAAGGCAGCUCACGUAUAAAUAAGAAAGAGAAGCAGAAUUGAACUGCGUAAGACUGUAAUAACAUUCUCAACCCACCAGAUGGCAUUCUUUUGUCUUGUAAUGUUCUUCUCUAUUGGAGAAAAAUACUGGGUGUGAUUGCAAACCCCUCAGGCACUACUGAUCAUUGCUUAUUCGACAUAUAAGCACAAAAUCUUGUAAUAUAUUUUAAAUAUAUGUUAUUUUCUGUUC